UCCCUGGUUGAUCUGCCAAGUAGUCAUAUGCUUGUCUCAUAGAUUAAAGCCAUGCAUGUCUCAGUGCAAGCCGCAUUAAGGUGAAACCGCGAAAGGCUCAUUAAAUCAGUUGUGGUUCCUUAGAUCGUACCCAAGUUACUUGGAUAACUGUGGUAAUUCUAGAGCUAAUACAUGCCGACAGAGUUCCGACCGUCGCGCCGCCCUCGGGCGUCGCUCGCGGGAGGAACGCUUUUAUUAGAUCAAAACCGGCCCGUCGCGGCGCGCUUCGUGCGCGUCCCGAUCGCGGCCCGCGCAAAGACCUGGUGACUCUGAAUAACUUCGAGCUGAUCGCACGGUCUCCGUACCGGCGACGCAUCUUUCAAAUGUCUGCCUUAUCAACUGUCGAUGGUAGGUUCCAUGCCUACCAUGGUGGUAACGGGUAACGGGGAAUCAGGGUUCGAUUCCGGAGAGGGAGCCUGAGAAACGGCUACCACAUCCAAGGAAGGCAGCAGGCGCGCAAAUUACCCACUCCCGGAACGGGGAGGUAGUGACGAAAAAUAACGAUACGGGACUCAUCCGAGGCCCCGUAAUCGGAAUGAGAACACUUUAAAACCUUUAAACGAGGAUCAAUUGGAGGGCAAGUCUGGUGCCAGCAGCCGCGGUAAUUCCAGCUCCAAUAGCGUAUAUUAAAGUUGUUGCGGUUAAAAAGCUCGUAGUCGGAUCUGUGUCUGGACGGUGCCGGACCACCCUGGCGGUCCGUCGUGUCGCGGCCGGCCGUGUCGCGGGACCACGUGUCCCGUCGGCGCGGUCGCCGUCGCGCUCGUCAGCCGUCUCGGGGUGUUAGUUACCGGCACGUCGGCCGGACGUAUUGUCGGCAGGCGGACACGUGUCUCGUGCU
RNAcentral lists this non-coding RNA (877 nucleotides) under Acyrthosiphon pisum (pea aphid). RNAcentral's name for it is "Eukaryotic small subunit ribosomal RNA". It matches the Rfam family "Eukaryotic small subunit ribosomal RNA", at positions 1 to 740 of the family's 1831-position model. Lineage: Eukaryota; Metazoa; Arthropoda; Insecta; Hemiptera; Aphididae. The record is from Rfam by way of RNAcentral.